UACGUAGGGGGCGAGCGUUGUCCGGAAUGACUGGGCGUAAAGGGCGUGUAGGCGGUCGAUUAAGUCUGGAGUGAAAGUCCUGUAUUUAAUGUGGGAAUUGCUUUGGAUACUGGUUGACUUGAGUGCGGAAUAGGUAAGUGGAAUUCCCAGUGUAGCGGUGAAAUGCGUAGAGAUUGGGAGGAACACCAGUGGCGAAGGCGACUUACUGGGCCGUAACUGACGCUGAUGCGCGAAAGCGUGGGGAGCGAAC
This 250-nucleotide ribosomal RNA is filed under the name uncultured prokaryote. RNAcentral's name for it is "partial 16S ribosomal RNA". It matches the Rfam family "Bacterial small subunit ribosomal RNA", at positions 524 to 773 of the family's 1533-position model. The record is from RNAcentral.